UACGUAGGGUGCGAGCGUUGUCCGGAAUUAUUGGGCGUAAAGGGCUCGUAGGCGGUCCAUCGCGUCGGGAGUGAAAAGCUGGGGCUUAACCCCAGUCCUGCUUUCGAUACGGGUGGACUAGAGGUAGGCAGGGGAGAAUGGAAUUCCUGGUGUAGCGGUGAAAUGCGCAGAUAUCAGGAGGAACACCAAUUGCGAAGGCAGCUCGCUGGGACGUUACUGACGCUGAGACGCGAAAGCGUGGGGAGCAAACAGG
This 253-nucleotide ribosomal RNA is filed under the name uncultured bacterium. RNAcentral describes it as "partial 16S ribosomal RNA". It matches the Rfam family "Bacterial small subunit ribosomal RNA", at positions 524 to 776 of the family's 1533-position model. The record is from RNAcentral.